Erinaceus europaeus (western European hedgehog) is the source of this 102-nucleotide small nuclear RNA. The record is from Ensembl. NCBI's taxonomy places the organism in Eukaryota, Metazoa, Chordata, Mammalia, Eulipotyphla, Erinaceidae.
GGCUUGCUUUCGCCGGCCCAUACACUAAAAACGAUACCGAGAAGAUUAGCAUGGCCCCUGUGCAAAGAUGAUAUGCAAAUUUGUGAAGCGUUCCCUAACAAA